UAGGGAAUCUUGCACAAUGGGCGAAAGCCUGAUGCAGCAACGCCGCGUGGGGGACGACGGCCCUCGGGUUGUAAACCCCUUUCAGCAGGGACGAAACUGACGGUACCUGCAGAAGAAGCCCCGGCCAACUACGUGCCAGCAGCCGCGGUAACACGUAGGGGGCGAGCGUUGUCCGGAUUUAUUGGGCGUAAAGAGCUCGUAGGCGGCUCAGUAAGUCGGGUGUGAAACCCCCGGGCUCAACCCGGGGCCGCCAUCCGAUACUGCUGUGGCUUGAGUCCGGUAGGGGAGCGUGGAAUUCCUGGUGUAGCGGUGAAAUGCGCAGAUAUCAGGAGGAACACCAGCGGCGAAGGCGGCGCUCUGGGCCGGAACUGACGCUGAGGAGCGAAAGCGUGGGGAGCGAACAG
Molecule: ribosomal RNA, 404 nt
Filed under: uncultured bacterium
Lineage: Bacteria
Description: bacterial SSU rRNA
Rfam family: Bacterial small subunit ribosomal RNA
Source: RNAcentral